This is a microRNA precursor of Equus caballus (horse), 145 nucleotides long. NCBI's taxonomy places the organism in Eukaryota, Metazoa, Chordata, Mammalia, Perissodactyla, Equidae. The record is from Ensembl.
GGCAGAUCCUCCACUUUGAGCCAUUCUGUGUGCAGUGCCCUACCCGGUAAGGUAGUGAUCACUUAGAUGAGGUGUGAUCACUGCCUGUCUGGGUGGAGUAACGCACAACAGGAACAAUGUUUGGGAGGGUCUUCAGACUGGUGCU